RNAcentral lists this ribosomal RNA (468 nucleotides) under uncultured bacterium. Its description in RNAcentral is "partial 16S ribosomal RNA". It matches the Rfam family "Bacterial small subunit ribosomal RNA", at positions 28 to 523 of the family's 1533-position model. The record is from RNAcentral.
GAUGAACGCUGGCGGCGUGCCUAACACAUGCAAGUCGAGCGAUUCUCUUCGGAGAAGAGCGGCGGACGGGUGAGUAACGCGGGGGUAACCUGCCCUGUACACACGGAUAACAUACCGAAAGGUAUGCUAAUACGAGAUAAUAUGCUUUUAUCGCAUGGUAGAAGUAUCAAAGCUCCGGCGGUACAGGAUGGACCCGCGUCUGAUUAGCUAGUUGGUAAGGUAACGGCUUACCAAGGCGACGAUCAGUAGCCGACCUGAGAGGGUGAUCGGCCACAUUGGAACUGAGACACGGUCCAAACUCCUACGGGAGGCAGCAGUGGGGAAUAUUGCACAAUGGGCGAAAGCCUGAUGCAGCAACGCCGCGUGAGCGAUGAAGGCCUUCGGGUCGUAAAGCUCUGUCCUCAAGGAAGAUAAUGACGGUACUUGAGGAGGAAGCCCCGGAUAACUACGUGCCAGCCGCCGCGGUAA